UCAAGUUAUUAAGGGUGCAGGGCGGAUGCCUUGGCACUAGGAGCCGAUGAAGGACGUGAUAAGCUGCGAUAAGCUUCGGGGAGUUGCACGUAAACUUUGAUCCGAAGAUUUCCGAAUGAGGAAACUCACUUAGAGUAAUGUCUAAGUAUCAUUAAGUGAAUACAUAGCUUAAUGAGGGGAACUCAGGGAACUGAAACAUCUAAGUACCUGAAGGAAGAGAAAGAAAUUCGAUUCCGUAAGUAGCGGCGAGCGAACGCGGAUUAGCCCAAACCAAUAAAGUUUUCUUUAUUGGGGUUGCGGACAUAUCAUAACGAAGAGGUAUCGUAAUUGAAGAGGUUUGGAAAGACCCACCACAGAAGGUAAUAGUCCUGUAUGUUAAACGAGAAGACUUUAGAUAUGAUCCAGAGUACCACGGGACACGUGAAACCCUGUGGGAAGCAGGAGGGACCACCCUCCAAGGCUAAAUACUACCUAGUGACCGAUAGCGUAUAGUACCGUGAGGGAAAGGUGAAAAGAACCCCGGGAGGGGAGUGAAAUAGAACCUGAAACCCUGCACUUACAAGCUGUGGAAGCACAUUUCUUGUGUGACCGCGUACUUUUUGUAGAACGGGCCAACGAGUUACGUUAAGUAGCAAGGUUAAGCACUUAAGGUGCGGAGCCGUAGCGAAAGCGAGUUUUAACUGAGCGUUCAGUUACUUGACGUAGACCCGAAACCGGGCGACCUACCCAUGAGCAGGAUGAAGCGAAAGUAAAAUUUCGUGGAGGUCCGAACCCACGAGCGUUGAAAAGCUCGGGGAUGACUUGUGGGUAGCGGUGAAAUUCCAAUCGAGCCCGGAGAUAGCUGGUUCUCCCCGAAAUAGCUUUAGGGCUAGCCUCAAGGUGAGAGAUACGGAGGUAGAGCACUGAAUGUCCUAGGGGGUAUUGCACCUACCGAAGACUAUCAAACUCCGAAUGCCGUCAUCUUAUACUUGGGAGUCAGACUGUGGGUGAUAAGAUUCAUAGUCGAAAGGGCAACAGCCCAGAUCGUCAGCUAAGGUCCCUAAAUGUAAGUUAAGUGGUAAAGGAUGUGGGAUUGCACAGACAACCAGGAUGUUGGCUUAGAAGCAGCCACUCAUUCAAAGAGUGCGUAAUAGCUCACUGGUCGAGUGAUCCUGCGCCGAAGAUUUCCGGGGCUAAAACUUACUACCGAAGCUACGGCAUCAGUAAUGAUGGGUAGGGGAGCUUCCCAUACGGGUUGAAGCAUGACCGUAAGGACAUGUGGACAGUAUGGGAGUGAGAAUGUUGGCAUGAGUAGCGAGAUGUGGGUGAGAAUCCCACAGGCCGUAAACCCAAGGUUUCCAGGGGAAGGUUCGUCCGCCCUGGGUUAGUCGGGACCUAAGCUGAGGCCGAAAGGCGUAGGUGAUGGACAACAGGUUGAUAUUCCUGUACUACCGAUAACCGUUUGAGAGAAGGGAUGACACAGUAGGAUAAGCUAAGCACACUGUUGGUUAUGUGUGCCCAAGCAUUGAGGCAGUCAAAGUAGGCAAAUCCGCUUUGAUAAUGCUGGGAUGUGAUGGGGAGCGAAAUUUAGUAGCGAAGUAGCUGAUUUCACACUGUCAAGAAAAGUCUCUAUCGAGGUUAAAGGUACCCGUACCGCAAACCGACACAGGUGGGUGAGGAGAGUAUCCUAAGGCCAGCGAGAGAACUGUUGUUAAGGAACUCGGCAAAAUGACCCCGUAACUUAGGGAUAAGGGGUGCCACCAUCAGGUGGCCGCAGAGAAUAGGCCCAAGCGACUGUUUACCAAAAACAUAGGUUUCUGCUAAGUCGCAAGACGAUGUAUAGGAGCUGACGCCUGCCCGGUGCUGGAAGGUUAAGGGGAUCUGUUAGAGCAAUCGAAGCAGUGAACUUAAGCCCCAGUAAACGGCGGCCGUAACUAUAACGGUCCUAAGGUAGCGAAAUUCCUUGUCGGGUAAGUUCCGACCCGCACGAAAGGCGUAACGAUUUGGGCACUGUCUCAACAACAGACUCGGUGAAAUUGUAAUUCCGGUGAAGAUGCCGGAUACCUGCGACAGGACGGAAAGACCCCAUGGAGCUUUACUGUAGCUUGACAUUGGGUCUUGGUACUACAUGUACAGGAUAGGUGGGAGGCUUUGAAACCAGGACGCCAGUUUUGGCGGAGCCAUCCUUGGGAUACCACCCUUGUAGUACUGGGACUCUAACCAUAGGCCAUGAAUCUGGUCUUGGGACACUGUCAGGUGGGCAGUUUGACUGGGGCGGUCGCCUCCCAAAAGGUAACGGAGGCGCUCAAAGGUUCUCUCAGUACGGUCGGAAAUCGUACGUAGAGUGUAAAGGCAAAAGAGAGCUUGAUUGCAAGACAUACAGGUCGAGCAAGGAUGAAAAUCGGACUUAGUGAUCCGGUGGUUCUGCGUGGAAGGGCCAUCGCUCAACGGAUAAAAGCUACCCUGGGGAUAACAGGCUUAUCUCCCCCAAGAGUCCACAUCGACGGGGAGGUUUGGCACCUCGAUGUCGGCUCAUCACAUCCUGGGGCUGUAGUAGGUCCCAAGGGUUGGGCUGUUCGCCCAUUAAAGUGGUACGCGAGCUGGGUUCAGAACGUCGUGAGACAGUUCGGUCCCUAUCCGUCGCAGGCGUAGGAAAUUUGAGAAGACCUGUCCUUAGUACGAGAGGACCGGGAUGGACGUACCUCUGGUGUACCAGUUGUCCUGCCAAGGGCAUGGCUGGGGUAGCUAUGUACGGAAUGGAUAAGCGCUGAAAGCAUCUAAGCGCGAAGCCAACUUCAAGAUAAGAUUUCCCACCGCAAGGGUAAGACCCCAGAAAGACUAUCUGGUUGAUAGGUCGAAGGUGUAAGUGCAGCAAUGUAUUUAGCUUAUCGAUACUAAUAGGUCGAGGACUUGACCAA
Molecule: ribosomal RNA, 2897 nt
Filed under: Clostridioides difficile
Lineage: Bacteria; Bacillati; Bacillota; Clostridia; Peptostreptococcales; Peptostreptococcaceae
Description: bacterial LSU rRNA
Rfam family: Bacterial large subunit ribosomal RNA
Source: RNAcentral